Molecule: ribosomal RNA, 1754 nt
Filed under: Escherichia coli
Lineage: Bacteria; Pseudomonadati; Pseudomonadota; Gammaproteobacteria; Enterobacterales; Enterobacteriaceae
Description: partial 23S ribosomal RNA
Rfam family: Bacterial large subunit ribosomal RNA
Source: RNAcentral
UAUCCUGUCUGAAUAUGGGGGGACCAUCCUCCAAGGCUAAAUACUCCUGACUGACCGAUAGUGAACCAGUACCGUGAGGGAAAGGCGAAAAGAACCCCGGCGAGGGGAGUGAAAAAGAACCUGAAACCGUGUACGUACAAGCAGUGGGAGCACAGAGCAAUCUGUGUGACUGCGUACCUUUUGUAUAAUGGGUCAGCGACUUAUAUUCUGUAGCAAGGUUAACCGAAUAGGGGAGCCGAAGGGAAACCGAGUCUUAACUGGGCGUUAAGUUGCAGGGUAUAGACCCGAAACCCGGUGAUCUAGCCAUGGGCAGGUUGAAGGUUGGGUAACACUAACUGGAGGACCGAACCGACUAAUGUUGAAAAAUUAGCGGAUGACUUGUGGCUGGGGGUGAAAGGCCAAUCAAACCGGGAGAUAGCUGGUUCUCCCCGAAAGCUAUUUAGGUAGCGCCUCGUGAAUUCAUCUCCGGGGGUAGAGCACUGUUUCGGCAAGGGGGUCAUCCCGACUUACCAACCCGAUGCAAACUGCGAAUACCGGAGAAUGUUAUCACGGGAGACACACGGCGGGUGCUAACGUCCGUCGUGAAGAGGGAAACAACCCAGACCGCCAGCUAAGGUCCCAAAGUCAUGGUUAAGUGGGAAACGAUGUGGGAAGGCCCAGACAGCCAGGAUGUUGGCUUAGAAGCAGCCAUCAUUUAAAGAAAGCGUAAUAGCUCACUGGUCGAGUCGGCCUGCGCGGAAGAUGUAACGGGGCUAAACCAUGCACCGAAGCUGCGGCAGCGACGCUGAUGCGUUGUUGGGUAGGGGAGCGUUCUGUAAGCCUGUGAAGGUGUGCUGUGAGGCAUGCUGGAGGUAUCAGAAGUGCGAAUGCUGACAUAAGUAACGAUAAAGCGGGUGAAAAGCCCGCUCGCCGGAAGACCAAGGGUUCCUGUCCAACGUUAAUCGGGGCAGGGUGAGUCGACCCCUAAGGCGAGGCCGAAAGGCGUAGUCGAUGGGAAACAGGUUAAUAUUCCUGUACUUGGUGUUACUGCGAAGGGGGGACGGAGAAGGCUAUGUUGGCCGGGCGACGGUUGUCCCGGUUUAAGCGUGUAGGCUGGUUUUCCAGGCAAAUCCGGAAAAUCAAGGCUGAGGCGUGAUGACGAGGCACUACGGUGCUGAAGCAACAAAUGCCCUGCUUCCAGGAAAAGCCUCUAAGCAUCAGGUAACAUCAAAUCGUACCCCAAACCGACACAGGUGGUCAGGUAGAGAAUACCAAGGCGCUUGAGAGAACUCGGGUGAAGGAACUAGGCAAAAUGGUGCCGUAACUUCGGGAGAAGGCACGCUGAUAUGUAGGUGAAGUCCCUCGCGGAUGGAGCUGAAAUCAGUCGAAGAUACCAGCUGGCUGCAACUGUUUAUUAAAAACACAGCACUGUGCAAACACGAAAGUGGACGUAUACGGUGUGACGCCUGCCCGGUGCCGGAAGGUUAAUUGAUGGGGUCAGCGCAAGCGAAGCUCUUGAUCGAAGCCCCGGUAAACGGCGGCCGUAACUAUAACGGUCCUAAGGUAGCGAAAUUCCUUGUCGGGUAAGUUCCGACCUGCACGAAUGGCGUAAUGAUGGCCAGGCUGUCUCCACCCGAGACUCAGUGAAAUUGAACUCGCUGUGAAGAUGCAGUGUACCCGCGGCAAGACGGAAAGACCCCGUGAACCUUUACUAUAGCUUGACACUGAACAUUGAGCCUUGAUGUGUAGGAUAGGUGGGAGGCUUUGAAGUGUGG